RNAcentral lists this long non-coding RNA (269 nucleotides) under Elaeis guineensis (African oil palm). RNAcentral's name for it is "long non-coding RNA (EGUI_LNC033095)". The record is from RNAcentral. Lineage: Eukaryota; Viridiplantae; Streptophyta; Magnoliopsida; Arecales; Arecaceae.
GCCUAAGGUUCCACUUAUACUUAAAGAUUAUCUCAACUCUGAAUCUCUCAGAUCCAAUGGCAUUCACUACUUGCUCAAUUAAGUUUAUAAAUACAUCACCAUGCAAAUGAUAGAGACCGUCUCUAAGAACUAAAUCCAAAUAAUAAUCAUGAAAGAUAAAUGCCCAUGGCCACAGCAGCAACUCUUUCCUUAUUGCCAAUUUCAAUGAUUACUUUCUCAGCCCUCUACCUUCCCAUAGACUCUAUACUAGAGUAAACUCAAUUGGAAGA